Nothoprocta perdicaria is the source of this 514-nucleotide long non-coding RNA. RefSeq lists it as uncharacterized. The record is from RefSeq and is a predicted model, not a curated record. Lineage: Eukaryota; Metazoa; Chordata; Aves; Tinamiformes; Tinamidae. The transcript has 4 exons.
UUUUUUUUUUUUUCUUGGAAGGUACAUGGAGGGGCACCCAGCACCCAUGCCCUGCAGGAACAUACAGUACCAGGUUGGGAAAUGUCAGGGUGGAAGACUGUACUGCCUGCCCUGCAGGGACUUUCUGCACCAGUGGGACCUCCAAGCCAGUUCUGUGCCCAGUAGGAACCUAUCGUACGGCUCGUGGUGCAAAGCUGGCUGCAGAGUGUCUGCUUUGUCCUGGAGGGUAUUACUGCCCUGAGCUUGGCACUGUUUCUCCUCGAGCAUGUGGUGCUGGCAACUUCUCAGGCCGUGGUCAGUCUGUUUGUAGGGACUGUCCAGAGGGAACAUUCUGCAAUGAGACAGGCCUUGCUGAACCCAGGGUGUGUCCCAAAGGGCAUUUUUGCUUGCCUGGAAGUUCCCUGCCUCUCCCAUGUCCCGUGGGAACUUACGCCGAUGUAGCUGGGGCAGGUUCCUGCAAGCCCUGCCCAGCAGGCAUGUACUGCAGCAUGGCUGGGCUGACUGAGCCAGAAGG